Molecule: long non-coding RNA, 220 nt
Organism: Nannospalax galili (Upper Galilee mountains blind mole rat)
Lineage: Eukaryota; Metazoa; Chordata; Mammalia; Rodentia; Spalacidae
Exons: 2
Source: RefSeq, a predicted model, not a curated record
GCUGCCGCCCGGGGCGGAGAAACAUCCAUCGGCGCUGUGCUGGGCUUUUGGCCUGCUCGGCAUUCGAUUGAGGAGUGGCCGCGCUCUUCCGGCGCCCGGCGCCACUUCCGGCCUUGGCUUCUGGUUAGCGGUGCAGACCUCAGGCUUUUGAAGAAUUUAAUCCAAACAUGGAUAUCAGACCAAAUCAUACGAUUUAUAUCAACAAUAUGAAUGACAAGAU